ACGUUCGGGUAAUCGCGGCGAUUUCUUUUGAAAAUCGUUGAGGAAAGUCCAUGCUCGCACGGGCUGCGACGCCCGUAGUGUUCGUGCCUGGCGAAAAGAUAAGCCAGGGUAUUCUGGUUUCGACUGGAUUAACGGCAGGGAACUCACCUAAGUCGCAAGAUAUGGUGACACUACCUUUAAUGUGCCACAGUGACGUAGUCUUUUCGGAAACGAAAAGAGUGGAACGCGGUAAACCCCACGAGCGAGAAACCCAAAUUAUGGUAGGGGAGUUUUCUUUGCGGAACUGAACGCGAAGAAGAUCAGGUGAAUCACCUGAAGAUAGAUGAUUACCACCGGAGUACGAGACUUAGCAGUCGUCUGUAGUACGAAGGAACAGAACAUGGCUUACAGAA
Molecule: RNase P RNA, 392 nt
Filed under: Fictibacillus macauensis ZFHKF-1
Lineage: Bacteria; Bacillati; Bacillota; Bacilli; Caryophanales; Fictibacillaceae
Description: Bacterial RNase P class B
Rfam family: Bacterial RNase P class B
About the family: Ribonuclease P (RNase P) is a ubiquitous endoribonuclease, found in archaea, bacteria and eukarya as well as chloroplasts and mitochondria. Its best characterised activity is the generation of mature 5'-ends of tRNAs by cleaving the 5'-leader elements of precursor-tRNAs.
Source: Rfam by way of RNAcentral